RNAcentral lists this ribosomal RNA (377 nucleotides) under Vibrio parahaemolyticus. Its description in RNAcentral is "partial 23S ribosomal RNA". It matches the Rfam family "Bacterial large subunit ribosomal RNA", at positions 891 to 1271 of the family's 2925-position model. Lineage: Bacteria; Pseudomonadati; Pseudomonadota; Gammaproteobacteria; Vibrionales; Vibrionaceae. The record is from RNAcentral.
UCUCUUGGAGGUAGAGCACUGUUUGGGUGAGGGGUCCAUCCCGGAUUACCAAUCUCAGAUAAACUCCGAAUGCCAAUGAGAUAUAAUCGGCAGUCAGACUGCGAGUGCUAAGAUCCGUAGUCGAAAGGGAAACAGCCCAGACCACCAGCUAAGGUCCCAAAAUAUAUGUUAAGUGGAAAAGGAUGUGGGGUUGCACAGACAACUAGGAUGUUAGCUUAGAAGCAGCUAUUCAUUCAAAGAGUGCGUAAUAGCUCACUAGUCGAGUGACCCUGCGCCGAAAAUGUACCGGGGCUAAAACAUAUUACCGAAGCUGUGGAUACCUUUAUAGGUAUGGUAGGAGAGCGUUCUAUGUGCGAAGAAGGUGUACCGUGAGGAGU